UGAGUCAGUAGGAGAUCAAAUUCAGGCAUGCUGAGAUAAUCCACUUCUGGCUGGAAUUCCUUCAGAACAUGACCUAGGAGAGUGGUAGAGAGUGCCUCCAUGAAUCCCAUAUGUAGAAUGGAAACUUGGAUAAUGAACACCUGCAAUAUAUGCAGAGUCAGUUGCAACUUAGGAAUCUUUCAAAUCUCCUAAAUGCAAUCUCCCAUAGCUCCCCAUCCACGGUCCCUCUCAUGGUAUGUUGUCAUCCUCCCACCCUAUGGUGAGGGAUGUUAGUAAGCUGA
RNAcentral lists this long non-coding RNA (281 nucleotides) under Elaeis guineensis (African oil palm). RNAcentral describes it as "long non-coding RNA (EGUI_LNC045987)". Lineage: Eukaryota; Viridiplantae; Streptophyta; Magnoliopsida; Arecales; Arecaceae. The record is from RNAcentral.